Molecule: ribosomal RNA, 484 nt
Filed under: uncultured bacterium
Lineage: Bacteria
Description: partial 16S ribosomal RNA
Rfam family: Bacterial small subunit ribosomal RNA
Source: RNAcentral
AUUGAACGCUGGCGGCAGGCCUAACACAUGCAAGUCGAGCGGAUGAAGGGAGCUUGCUCCUGGAUUCAGCGGCGGACGGGUGAGUAAUGCCUAGGAAUCUGCCUGGUAGUGGGGGAUAACGUCCGGAAACGGGCGCUAAUACCGCAUACGUCCUGAGGGUGAACGUGGGGGAUCUUCGGACCUCACGCUAUCAGAUGAGCCUAGGUCGGAUUAGCUAGUUGGUGGGGUAAAGGCCUACCAAGGCGACGAUCCGUAACUGGUCUGAGAGGAUGAUCAGUCACACUGGAACUGAGACACGGUCCAGACUCCUACGGGAGGCAGCAGUGGGGAAUAUUGGACAAUGGGCGAAAGCCUGAUCCAGCCAUGCCGCGUGUGUGAAGAAGGUCUUCGGAUUGUAAAGCACUUUAAGUUGGGAGGAAGGGCAGUAAGUUAAUACCUUGCUGUUUUGACGUUACCAACAGAAUAAGCACCGGCUAACUUCGUG